ACCUGCUCCCUGACAGGGCUACCCCUCAACCAGCCUAGGCAAUUGCCUACUUCAGCACAGAAAGCAUCCGCUCCAGAGCUGAGUACCUCUCCAAAAGAGCUUUGAAAUGCAUCACAAUCCAUGAGCAACAUCAAGAUAAAUGGGCAGCCACACCAAUGAGGAUAUGGAGUAGAGGAAAUGCUGGAAGAUAUGGAGACAUAUUAAAUUAUCAAUGAAGAAAAGAAGAUUCCUUCAGUGAGCAGUCGACCACAGGUUUGACCUCUGAUGAAAUCUCUCCUUUCACUACUGAUGUGGACAUGCAGAGGCAAGCCUAAUGCCUCCUAAUGCCUUUGUGAUCACCUCACAAGGCACCAUACUCAC
Molecule: long non-coding RNA, 360 nt
Filed under: Gallus gallus (chicken)
Lineage: Eukaryota; Metazoa; Chordata; Aves; Galliformes; Phasianidae
Description: long non-coding RNA NONGGAT003833
Source: RNAcentral